This 468-nucleotide ribosomal RNA is filed under the name uncultured bacterium. Its description in RNAcentral is "partial 16S ribosomal RNA". It matches the Rfam family "Bacterial small subunit ribosomal RNA", at positions 28 to 507 of the family's 1533-position model. The record is from RNAcentral.
GACGAACGCUGGCGGCGUGCUUAACACAUGCAAGUCGAACGGAAAGGCCCUGCUUUUGUGGGGUGCUCGAGUGGCGAACGGGUGAGUAACACGUGAGUAACCUGCCCUUGACUUUGGGAUAACUUCAGGAAACUGGGGCUAAUACCGGAUAGGAGCUCCUGCUGCAUGGUGGGGGUUGGAAAGUUUCGGCGGUUGGGGAUGGACUCGCGGCUUAUCAGCUUGUUGGUGGGGUAGUGGCUUACCAAGGCUUUGACGGGUAGCCGGCCUGAGAGGGUGACCGGCUACAUUGGGACUGAGAUACGGCCCAGACUCCUACGGGAGGCAGCAGUGGGGAAUAUUGCACAAUGGGCGGAAGCCUGAUGCAGCAACGCCGCGUGCGGGAUGACGGCCUUCGGGUUGUAAACCGCUUUCGCCCGUGACGAAGCGUGAGUGACGGUAAUGGGUAAAGAAGCACCGGCUAACUACGUG